CAGCCUGAUGCAGCGACGCCGCGUGGGGGAUGACGGCCUUCGGGUUGUAAACCUCUUUCAGUAGGGACGAAGCGCAAGUGACGGUACCUAUAGAAGAAGGACCGGCCAACUACGUGCCAGCAGCCGCGGUAAUACGUAGGGUCCGAGCGUUGUCCGGAAUUACUGGGCGUAAAGAGCUCGUAGGUGGUUUGUCACGUUGUUCGUGAAAACCCACAACUCAAUUGUGGGCGUGCGGGCGAUACGGGCAGACUAGAGUACUGCAGGGGAGACUGGAAUUCCUGGUGUAGCGGUGGAAUGCGCAGAUAUCAGGAGGAACACCGGUGGCGAAGGCGGGUCUCUGGGCAGUAACUGACGCUGAGGAGCGAAAGCGUGGGGAGCGAACAGGAUUAGAUACCCUGGUAGUCCACGCCGUAAACGGUGGGUACUAGGUGUGGGUUUCCUUCCUUGGGAUCCGUGCCGUAGCUAACGCAUUAAGUACCCCGCCUGGGGAGUACGGCCGCAAGGCUAAAACUCAAAGAAAUUGACGGGGGCCCGCACAAGCGGCGGAGCAUGUGGAUUAAUUCGAUGCAACGCGAAGAACCUUACCUGGGUUUGACAUGCACAGGACGUGCCUAGAGAUAGGUAUUCCCUUGUGGUCUG
Molecule: ribosomal RNA, 639 nt
Filed under: Mycobacterium sp. So1Ps_730
Lineage: Bacteria; Bacillati; Actinomycetota; Actinomycetes; Mycobacteriales; Mycobacteriaceae
Description: bacterial SSU rRNA
Rfam family: Bacterial small subunit ribosomal RNA
Source: RNAcentral